GAUGAACGCUGGCGGCGCGCCUAACACAUGCAAGUCGAACGAUUAAAGCACCUUCGGGUGUGUAUAAAGUGGCGAACGGAUGAGUAACACGUGGGCAACCUGCCUAUCUCAUUGGGAUAGCCACGGGAAACCGUGGAUAAUACCGAAUACUUCGGGACUUCCGCAUGGAAGAUUAGAGAAAGACCCGGCGGAGGUGGUUGGGCCCGCGGCCUGUCAGCUUGUUGGUGGGGUAAUGGACUACCAAGGCAAUGAAGGGUAGCUGUGAUGAGAGACCGACCAGGCAGAUUGGGACUGAGAGACGGCCCAGACUCCAACGUGAGGCAGCAGUGGGGAAUCUGGCACAAUAGGCGAAAGUCUGAUGCAGCGACGCCGCGUGCGGGAUGAAGGCCUUCGGGUGGUAAACCGCUGUCAGCAGAGACGAGGCGAAAGUGACGGUACCUGCAGAAGAAGCCCCGGCUAACUACGUG
This 467-nucleotide ribosomal RNA is filed under the name uncultured bacterium. RNAcentral describes it as "partial 16S ribosomal RNA". It matches the Rfam family "Bacterial small subunit ribosomal RNA", at positions 28 to 507 of the family's 1533-position model. The record is from RNAcentral.